CGCGAUACAGGGUGACAGCCCCGUACACAAAAAUGCACAUGCUGUGAGCUCGAUGAGUAGGGCGGGACACGUGGUAUCCUGUCUGAAUAUGGGGGGACCAUCCUCCAAGGCUAAAUACUCCUGACUGACCGAUAGUGAACCAGUACCGUGAGGGAAAGGCGAAAAGAACCCCGGCGAGGGGAGUGAAAAAGAACCUGAAACCGUGUACGUACAAGCAGUGGGAGCCUCUUAAUGGGGUGACUGCGUACCUUUUGUAUAAUGGGUCAGCGACUUAUAUUCUGUAGCAAGGUUAACCGAAUAGGGGAGCCGAAGGGAAACCGAGUCUUAACUGGGCGUUAAGUUGCAGGGUAUAGACCCGAAACCCGGUGAUCUAGCCAUGGGCAGGUUGAAGGUUGGGUAACACUAACUGGAGGACCGAACCGACUAAUGUUGAAAAAUUAGCGGAUGACUUGUGGCUGGGGGUGAAAGGCCAAUCAAACCGGGAGAUAGCUGGUUCUCCCCGAAAGCUAUUUAGGUAGCGCCUCGUGAAUUCAUCUCCGGGGGUAGAGCACUGUUUCGGCAAGGGGGUCAUCCCGACUUACCAACCCGAUGCAAACUGCGAAUACCGGAGAAUGUUAUCACGGGAGACACACGGCGGGUGCUAACGUCCGUCGUGAAGAGGGAAACAACCCAGACCGCCAGCUAAGGUCCCAAAGUCAUGGUUAAGUGGGAAACGAUGUGGGAAGGCCCAGACAGCCAGGAUGUUGGCUUAGAAGCAGCCAUCAUUUAAAGAAAGCGUAAUAGCUCACUGGUCGAGUCGGCCUGCGCGGAAGAUGUAACGGGGCUAAACCAUG
RNAcentral lists this ribosomal RNA (833 nucleotides) under Escherichia coli. RNAcentral's name for it is "partial 23S ribosomal RNA". It matches the Rfam family "Bacterial large subunit ribosomal RNA", at positions 353 to 1191 of the family's 2925-position model. The record is from RNAcentral. Lineage: Bacteria; Pseudomonadati; Pseudomonadota; Gammaproteobacteria; Enterobacterales; Enterobacteriaceae.